RNAcentral lists this ribosomal RNA (161 nucleotides) under uncultured bacterium. Its description in RNAcentral is "partial 16S rRNA". It matches the Rfam family "Bacterial small subunit ribosomal RNA", at positions 355 to 507 of the family's 1533-position model. The record is from RNAcentral.
UGGGGAAUCUUGCGCAAUGGGCGAAAGCCUGACGCAGCAACGCCGCGUGUGUGAUGAAGGUCUUCGGAUCGUAAAGCACUGUCGCGAGGGACGAAUAAGGGCCGGGUUAACAGCCCGGUCCGAUGACGGUACCUCGAGAGGAAGCACCGGCUAACUCUGUG